RNAcentral lists this ribosomal RNA (484 nucleotides) under uncultured bacterium. RNAcentral's name for it is "partial 16S ribosomal RNA". It matches the Rfam family "Bacterial small subunit ribosomal RNA", at positions 30 to 507 of the family's 1533-position model. The record is from RNAcentral.
AUUGAACGCUGGCGGCAGGCCUAACACAUGCAAGUCGAGCGGAUGAAGGGAGCUUGCUCCUGGAUUCAGCGGCGGACGGGUGAGUAAUGCCUAGGAAUCUGCCUGGUAGUGGGGGAUAACGUCCUGAAACGGGCGCUAAUACCGCAUACGUCCUGAGGGAGAAAGUGGGGGAGCUUCGGACCUCACGCUAUCAGAUGAGCCUAGGUCGGAUUAGCUAGUUGGUGGGGUAAAGGCCUACCAAGGCGACGAUCCGUAACUGGUCUGAGAGGAUGAUCAGUCACACUGGAACUGAGACACGGUCCAGACUCCUACGGGAGGCAGCAGUGGGGAAUAUUGGACAAUGGGCGAAAGCCUGAUCCAGCCAUGCCGCGUGUGUGAAGAAGGUCUUCGGAUUGUAAAGCACUUUAAGUGGGGAGGAAGGGCAGUAAGUUAAUACCUUGCUGUUUUGACGUUACCAACAGAAUAAGCACCGGCUAACUUCGUG